This 497-nucleotide ribosomal RNA is filed under the name uncultured bacterium. RNAcentral's name for it is "partial 16S ribosomal RNA". It matches the Rfam family "Bacterial small subunit ribosomal RNA", at positions 28 to 507 of the family's 1533-position model. The record is from RNAcentral.
GAUGAACGCUGGCGGCGUGCCUAAUACAUGCAAGUCGAGCGAACGGACGAGAAGCUUGCUUCUCUGAUGUUAGCGGCGGACGGGUGAGUAACACGUGGAUAACCUACCUAUAAGACUGGGAUAACUUCGGGAAACCGGAGCUAAUACCGGAUAAUAUUUUGAACCGCAUGGUUCAAAAGUGAAAGACGGUCUUGCUGUAACUUAUAGAUGGAUCCGCGCUGCAUUAGCUAGUUGGUAAGGUAACGGCUUACCAAGGCAACGAUGCAUAGCCGACCGGAGAGGGUGAUCGGCCACACUGGAACUGAGACACGGUCCAGACUCCUACGGGAGGCAGCAGUAGGGAAUCUUCCGCAAUGGGCGAAAGCCUGACGGAGCAACGCGGCGUGAGUGAUGAAGGUCUUCGGAUCGUAAAACUCUGUUAUUAGGGAAGAACAUAUGUGUAAGUAACUGUGCACAUCUUGACGGUACCUAAUCAGAAAGCCACGGCUAACUACGUG